AUUGAACGCUGGCGGCAUGCUUUACACAUGCCAGUCGAACGGCAGCGCGGGCUUCGGCCUGGCGGCGAGUGGCGAACGGGUGAGUAAUGCAUCGGAACGUGCCCAGUAGUGGGGGAUAGCCCGGCGAAAGCCGGAUUAAUACCGCAUACGACCUGAGGGUGAAAGCGGGGGACCGAAAGGCCUCGCGCUAUUGGAGCGGCCGAUGUCGGAUUAGCUAGUUGGUGGGGUAAAGGCUUACCAAGGCGACGAUCCGUAGCUGGUCUGAGAGGACGACCAGCCACACUGGGACUGAGACACGGCCCAGACUCCUACGGGAGGCAGCAGUGGGGAAUUUUGGACAAUGGGGGCAACCCUGAUCCAGCCAUGCCGCGUGCGGGAAGAAGGCCUUCGGGUUGUAAACCGCUUUUGUUCGGGAAGAAAUCCUCUGGGCUAAUACCCCGGGGGGAUGACGGUACCGGAAGAAUAAGCACCGGCUAACUACGCG
Molecule: ribosomal RNA, 484 nt
Filed under: uncultured bacterium
Lineage: Bacteria
Description: partial 16S ribosomal RNA
Rfam family: Bacterial small subunit ribosomal RNA
Source: RNAcentral